UCGUACAACCGAGGCACGAAGGCUGUCGCUGACCCUUUAGGGUCGUGCACGCCCGACUGCUCUCACACAUCCAUCUCACCCUUUUGUGCACCACCGCGUGAGCCCUCCUCUCGGGGGGCUUGCGUUUUUAUACAAAUACUCGAUACGAUGUAGAAUGCAUUAUCUGUUUGCGAUCACACGCAAUAAAUA
This 189-nucleotide unclassified non-coding RNA is filed under the name uncultured Russulaceae. RNAcentral describes it as "sequence contains ITS1". The record is from RNAcentral. Lineage: Eukaryota; Fungi; Basidiomycota; Agaricomycetes; Russulales; Russulaceae.